UGCAGCAUCAAGAGCUAGGAGAUUUUGUCAGGAAGAAGCUGAUAAGCCGUGGGAGCUGCUCUCUGUCAUGAAGAAGCCAGGACUGGCUUCCUCAGGAAGGAAGUGUGCGGCGGCUCCUGUGUGCAGAUACCUGCUGCCAAAUCUGCAAUGCCAUGGCUCUGGAGAUUCAGCAGUUGCUGGUAGGUGAGAACACCCUGAUAUCUUCCCCUUCAUCAGGACCAUUGCAGGGCUCCUCUUGCUUA
Molecule: long non-coding RNA, 242 nt
Filed under: Canis lupus familiaris (dog)
Lineage: Eukaryota; Metazoa; Chordata; Mammalia; Carnivora; Canidae
Description: lncRNA (ENSCAFG00030009795.1)
Source: RNAcentral